Molecule: transfer RNA, 77 nt
Filed under: Arthrobacter cupressi
Lineage: Bacteria; Bacillati; Actinomycetota; Actinomycetes; Micrococcales; Micrococcaceae
Description: tRNA-Phe
Source: RNAcentral
AGCAUUGGGAAGAAGGCCGAGUCAGCGUUCGACUGAAAAUCGAAAGGUCACCGGAUCGACGCCGGUCGGAGCCACCA